CCUACGGGAGGCAGCAGUGGGGAAUCUUUGGCAAUGGGCGCAAGCCUGACCCAGCAACACCGCGUGAAGGAAGGAGGCUUUCCGGUUGUUAACUUCUUGUGUCAUGGGAGCGUAGAAGACGGUAACUGACGAAUAAGCAACGGCUAACUACGUGCCAGCAGCCGCGGUAAUUCGUAGGUGGCAAGCGUUGUCCGGAUUUACUGGGUGUAAAGGGCGUGUAGGCGGGUUGACAAGUCAGAUGUGAAAUCCUGCGGCUUAACCGAAGAACUGCAUUUGAAACUGUUGAACUUGAGUACUGGAGAGGCAGACGGAAUUCCUGGUGUAGCGGUGAAAUGCGUAGAUAUUAGGAGGAACACCAGUGGCGAAGGCGGUCUGCUGGACAGCAACUGACGGUGAGGCGCGAAAGCGGGGGGAGCAAACAGGAUUAGAUACCCCUGUAGUC
This 442-nucleotide ribosomal RNA is filed under the name uncultured bacterium. Its description in RNAcentral is "partial 16S ribosomal RNA". It matches the Rfam family "Bacterial small subunit ribosomal RNA", at positions 338 to 795 of the family's 1533-position model. The record is from RNAcentral.